This 225-nucleotide ribosomal RNA is filed under the name uncultured Acinetobacter sp. Its description in RNAcentral is "partial 16S ribosomal RNA". It matches the Rfam family "Bacterial small subunit ribosomal RNA", at positions 568 to 792 of the family's 1533-position model. Lineage: Bacteria; Pseudomonadati; Pseudomonadota; Gammaproteobacteria; Moraxellales; Moraxellaceae. The record is from RNAcentral.
UGCGUAGGCGGCUUUUUAAGUCGGAUGUGAAAUCCCUGAGCUUAACUUAGGAAUUGCAUUCGAUACUGGGAGGCUAGAGUAUGGGAGAGGAUGGUAGAAUUCCAGGUGUAGCGGUGAAAUGCGUAGAGAUCUGGAGGAAUACCGAUGGCGGAGGCAGCCAUCUGGCCUAAUACUGACGCUGAGGUGCGAAAGCUAGGGGAGCAAACGGGAUUAGAUACCCGCGUA